UACGUAUGGGGCGAGCGUUGUUCGGAAUUAUUGGGUGUAAAGGGCGUCUAGGCGGGAGAUUAAGUUAGAUGUGAAAGGCGUGGGCUUAACCCACGAAUUGCAUCUAAAACUGGUUUUCUUGAGUUCGGGAGAGGAGAGCGGAAUUCUUGGUGUAGCGGUGAAAUGCGUAGAUAUCAAGAAGAACACCAGUGGCGAAGGCGGCUCUCUGGCCUAGAACUGACGCUGAAGCGCGAAAGCGUGGGUAGCGAACGGGAUUAGAUACCCCGGUAGUCCCUGAGCGGG
This 282-nucleotide ribosomal RNA is filed under the name uncultured prokaryote. Its description in RNAcentral is "partial 16S ribosomal RNA". It matches the Rfam family "Bacterial small subunit ribosomal RNA", at positions 524 to 803 of the family's 1533-position model. The record is from RNAcentral.